Molecule: ribosomal RNA, 402 nt
Filed under: uncultured prokaryote
Description: bacterial SSU rRNA
Rfam family: Bacterial small subunit ribosomal RNA
Source: RNAcentral
UGGGGAAUAUUGGACAAUGGGCGCAAGCCUGAUCCAGCCAUGCCGCGUGAGUGAUGAAGGCCUUAGGGUUGUAAAGCUCUUUCGCCCGCGAAGAUAAUGACGGUAGCGGGAGAAGAAGCCCCGGCUAACUUCGUGCCAGCAGCCGCGGUAAUACGAAGGGGGCUAGCGUUGUUCGGAAUCACUGGGCGUAAAGCGUACGUAGGCGGAUCGUUAAGUCAGGGGUGAAAGCCUGGAGCUCAACUCCAGAACUGCCUUUGAUACUGGCGAUCUUGAGUCCGGGAGAGGUGAGUGGAACUGCUAGUGUAGAGGUGAAAUUCGUAGAUAUUAGCAAGAACACCAGUGGCGAAGGCGGCUCACUGGCCCGGUACUGACGCUGAGGUACGAAAGCGUGGGGAGCAAACA